GCAAGUCGAACGCAUCCUUCGGGGUGAGUGGCAGACGGGUGAGUAACGCGUGGGAAUGUACCUCUUGCUACGGGAUAGCUCCGGGAAACUGGAAUUAAUACCGUAUGUGCCCUUCGGGGGAAAGAUUUAUCGGCAAGGGAUCAGCCCGCGUUGGAUUAGCUAGUUGGUGGGGUAAAGGCCUACCAAGGCGACGAUCCAUAGCUGGUCUAAGAGGAUGAUCAGCCACAUUGGGACUGAGACACGGCCCAAACUCCUACGGGAGGCAGCAGUGGGGAAUAUUGGACAAUGGGCGCAAGCCUGAUCCAGCCAUGCCGCGUGAGUGAUGAAGGCCCUAGGGUUGUAAAGCUCUUUCAGUGGGGACGAUAAUGACGGUACCCACAGAAGAAGCCCCGGCUAACUUCGUGCCAGCAGCCGCGGUAAUACGAAGGGGGCUAGCGUUGUUCGGAAUUACUGGGCGUAAAGCGCACGUAGGCGGACUUUUAAGUCAGGGGUGAAAUCCCGGGGCUCAACCCCGGAACUGCCUCUGAUACUGGAAGUCUCGAGUGUGGUAGAGGUGAGUGGAAUUGCGAGUGUAGAGGUGAAAUUCGUAGAUAUUCGCAGGAACACCAGUGGCGAAGGCGGCUCACUGGACCACAACUGACGCUG
This 645-nucleotide ribosomal RNA is filed under the name Jiella sp. RNAcentral's name for it is "bacterial SSU rRNA". It matches the Rfam family "Bacterial small subunit ribosomal RNA", at positions 57 to 748 of the family's 1533-position model. The record is from RNAcentral. Lineage: Bacteria; Pseudomonadati; Pseudomonadota; Alphaproteobacteria; Hyphomicrobiales; Aurantimonadaceae.